RNAcentral lists this ribosomal RNA (433 nucleotides) under uncultured bacterium. RNAcentral's name for it is "partial 16S ribosomal RNA". It matches the Rfam family "Bacterial small subunit ribosomal RNA", at positions 29 to 507 of the family's 1533-position model. The record is from RNAcentral.
AACGAACGCUGGCGGCAUGCCUAACACAUGCAAGUCGAACGAGACCUUCGGGACUAGUGGCGCACGGGUGCGUAACGCGUGGGAACCUGCCCUUAGGUUCGGAAUAACUCCCCGAAAGGGGUGCUAAUACCGGAUAAUGUCUUCGGACCAAAGAUUUAUCGCCUUUGGAUGGGCACGCGUUGGAUUAGCUAGUUGGUAGGGUAAAAGCCUACCAAGGCGACGAUCCAUAGCUGGUCUGAGAGGAUGAUCAGCCACACUGGGACUGAGACGCGGCCCAGACUCCUACGGGAGGCAGCAGUGGGGAAUAUUGGACAAUGGGCGAAAGCAUGAUCCAGCAAUGCCGCGUGAGUGAUGAAGGCCUUAGGGUUGUAAAGCUCUUUUACCCGGGAUGAUAAUGACAGUACCGGGAGAAUAAGCUCCGGCUAACUCCGUG